Molecule: long non-coding RNA, 973 nt
Filed under: Homo sapiens (human)
Lineage: Eukaryota; Metazoa; Chordata; Mammalia; Primates; Hominidae
Description: long non-coding RNA NONHSAT159958.1
Source: RNAcentral
CUGCCCCUCCACCCGAGGCUGCCUUAUCCUUUUGCUUUCUCUCUUAAAUCUGCUGCCCGUUACUGCUAUUCUACCCUUUGGUAGGUGUCAACAGAUGUUCACACUUUCCUUUCUUUCUGAUGGUGGUCAGGAAACCUAGCACUCCACCUAAGGCGAAGAAGCCGGGCGUUUGUCUGUUGUGAGUGAGUGACAAGGGCGGAGGAGGCGUGCCAGGCUGGCUGCAGUACCAUUCCCUGAGUCUGGCACUGCCUGAAGGGAGCCCUGCCGGUCACAUCAGACGUUCCUAAGGGGCCUGGAGUGAAAGGUGCUUGCAGGGAGCAAGUGAAAGUGGCGCCCCCACCCAGUCUGCCCAUUCCACCUCUCUUUAUACUGAUGAGAGAAGCCAAAGGGAGGCAACAAGGAAAAGAAGAGAAACUGGAAGCUGGGAUGAUUGACAGACUAGAAUGACAGGCUGCUGAAACUGAAUGAAACCCCAGAAGUUAUCAAUUCAUCCUUCACUUUUUGAGUUUUUAUUGAAGGGAGAGGAUGUAGUAGUUUCCCCUGUCUACUUUCUCUACCUUCUUUUCUCCUCUACCCUCCCUUUCCAAGCUCAACUUCCUUGACAGUAUUAAGGAAAUACCUUUUUUAGUUACCAAAAUAAGUUGCUCUGUGGAGAAUUUCUGAUGAUCUCAUGGUGAUUUUCCUGCACCCGGAAGACACUUUGCUUUGCUUUGGGACCAUGGAUAUUCCUUGGGGCAGCCACCAAGGAUGAAUAAGGUUUGAAUGGGGAGGCACUGGCCUCGGAGCUCCUUGCUGCUGACAUCAGUUGUGCCCUUGUAGGAGACGUCCUGGUCCUGUCUGCCUCAGAGGCUUCCAUCUGCGGAUUUCCUGAGGUCGUCCCCUUACUCCUCUGCUGCAGUCUCUCUCAACAUUUCAACUGUCUGCUCCAGAAAGUUACUCUGUCACUAAGUAAAAUAAAUACAAACAAAAUAAG